Molecule: long non-coding RNA, 1673 nt
Organism: Columba livia (rock pigeon)
Lineage: Eukaryota; Metazoa; Chordata; Aves; Columbiformes; Columbidae
Exons: 2
Source: RefSeq, a predicted model, not a curated record
GGGUGCCGCGGCUCCCGCCCCUCUACGGACGUCGUCCCGCUGCCUUCGCCGGCCCUGAGGGGAAAGGCAAACCCGAGGCUCGGCAGGGAGGUCCCGGGAUGGCGGCGGGAAGGAGAGAGGCGCGACAGGCCGGACACUGAGGAGACUGAGGACAAGUCUUCAAGAAACAUUUGGAACCCAAACAACUCACAGGAAAAGACACCAUACAUCCACGUGCAUUUCUCCUGAACAUGAGGAAACAAUACAACCGCCUGUUUCUUUUAAUGACCUCCACUGAAAUACUGAAAAUUCACUGAUCUUGUAUUUGAUUUAUGCUUCCCUAUCACAGGAAGGCCUAAGUAUGACAAGUGUUGAACGAUAUACUGAAAACUUCUCACAACAGCUGAACGCUACUCAGAGCAGCCGUAAUUAUACCUGAAUUCUACAACUGCUGCAUAAACACAAUUUAAGAAGCACUCAGUCUCUACACCUCUAAGCUCUGUCUUUAACUUUAGAUGAUGAACUGCCUAGCCUUCUUAUCCUAAGAUUUCCUGCUUUCAAGUCUUCAGGCCGUUCUUUGUCACAAGUAGUAAAAAUCUACACACACUGCUAAAACAUAGUCACAAGAACAUACGAGUCCUGUGCCUACCACCUUACCCCAGAAGUUUAGUAAGUUUGCAACAGUAUUUGCUAAGUCUCAAAAUUACUAUCUGCUAUUUAAAUCCAUGCUUUCUUCGAUUAUAGGGUAAUUCCAAACCUUUAGUAUUUGCUUGCUUGAUAGAAUCAUGACAUUGAUAGGUUUAGGCUGUUUGAUGUAACUGCAACCUCAGUCCUACUUUUAAAUACUUGUUUCAAAAUCUUCAGGGUAACAUGGAUGCGCUCCCAACUUUUACAGAAGGUAACUACAGCAAAUUAAUUAUGUUUGAGUACUGUCUGGAUGAAAGACGCACCCACAUUAUUGCGUGGCUGCAACUUCUCCAAAGAUGCGCUGCCUGGAAAUGAAGUUGAAGGAAUAAAGAAAAGAAACCAACCAGCAAAAUCACACACGCCUAAUAAGAAAUCCCCAAACCCCGCUGUCCUCAGAGCUCCUAAUUUAACAGCUAUCUUAAGAAAACAACAGAACACAGACUCUAGAUCCACUACAAAGAGAGAGGAGCUAAUGCACUUGUUAAUACUUCCAUCUGGUCUACUUGUACUUUCACUGUGUUACUGGUGAUGCUCAACCGAGCAAGAGAAGUGACUACAGAUCUCCAUGUAAACAUGGUAUUCCAAGCCCUGCAAGAUGGGCAUGAGCUAUGGAUCUAGAAAAGUUGAAAGAGGAUUGAGAGGAAAAGAGAAAACUGCUUCAAUAUUUUUUUUAAAAAGGCGAAAAUAAUGUAAUUAAAGUGAUGGUAUCACACAGAGGAGCAAUCAUCUCUCCCAGAUGCACAGACACAUACCUUCCCAGAUUUCCAUUUGAUCUCGGUUGAUUUUGAAGAUGGGUCUCCGCUUUCAUUGAGGUGAAACUCUUUGGAGAGAACUUUAUUUUCAAAGUACGGAUUCUCAUCAAAAUACUGCAGAGUUGAAAGCAAAGAGUUAGAACUCACAUAAUGUAAAGACACGUGCCAAUUAAAACCUGGUACUAAAUGGAAAACUGAAGACAUUAAGUUACAAACAACCCAAUACGCAAUUAGAUUCAAAAAAACUCAGAAAAA